UUUAAUCAAUAUAACAACUAAUUAUUUUUUGUUUCUAAAAUUUGUUUAUAUUUAAUAGUUUUCUUGUAGUGGAUGUUAUUAGGAGUGUUUGUGUGGGUUUCAUCGACGCUAUGUAAGUGAUGGAGAUCAAGCUCAAGAGGACAUGGAGGCCAAUCAACAAGAUCAAGAAGAGGUGGAGGCACAAAUGGAGGACGCCCAUGGAGGUCAAAGUCCACCUCAAAGGAUUACAAGAAGCAUGUUCAAAGCUUUGGGAGCUAGAGGACAUUUAUUUUCUCUUUUUGUAAUUUCUUUAGUUAGAGGUGCUUAGAGGGAAACAUUAGAAACCUCUUUUGUUUUAGCAUCUUUUAGGCUUUAGUUAGGAGCUUUAGGAGGGGGGGUGUAUUAGUAGAUAGGUGUAGGAGUAAAUAAGGAGGUGCCAAAGUGAGAGAAGGGAUCACACCUUCCUCAUGCUUUGUUUUAGGCGCAAAUUCUAGAAGCUUUUUAGGAGGGAGUUUUUGAAUUUGUGUAGCUUACUUUUCAGCACCUUAGGCUAUAAAUAGAGGUGCUCUCUUUGUAAAAUUCAGAUUGGAAUUAAUCUAAGAAAACUCUACUCAAAUUUUGAGUGACCUUUGGAGAGCUUUUGGAGCCUUCUUCUCUAGUCUUAUCUUGAUGGAUCAAUGGAGUCCUCAAGUGGCGGCAUCACUCUCAUCUAGGAGCAUUCCACACUUCUAGUGGCGAGAUCAUCCAUCCUCCUUCCAUCUUCAUGAGCAUUCUCUUCUCCUUCCUUUCUUCUUCUUCAAUUGUUCAUGUUGCUUUGUGUUCUUGAGUUUUUCAGUUUUGGUUUUUCUAUUUUCCAGCACUUUGUUCUGUUUUGUUCUUAAUUUUGUUCGGUUCAUAUGAAUUGUUGUUUAAUUUUGUUCGGUCAUUCCAGUUUUCAUUCCUUUGUUGAUUCAAUUUGACAAUAUUUGGUUCAUCCAAAUGAGUUUGGAUUUGGUACUAGUUUUUGGUGAGUUCUUGUCUUAGAACAAUGAUCCAACUCUAAGAAAAGUGCCUCUAUAUUUUCCAGCUCAAGGUGAUUCCUAAAAAUGUCAAGAAUCUUGUUCUAUGUGGCUAUUGGAAUCACAUCAGUAAGGCUUAUUACUAAAGAUACGAGGUUUUCCCUAAAUUUCUCUAAAACCAAAUCCCUAGUUCGAGAAACCCAAAAUCGCACCUCCAAAUCUUCUUCAGUUGUUCCUUCUUCGAUUCCUUCCUUCCACCAUUUCUUCGUUCUCCCAUUUCUUCCUUAUUGUGGUUAGUGUAGUAGGGAGAGGUGAGAAAGUGAGAAAUCCAAAUCGAUUUGAGUGUUUGAAAUCAGGUUUUGUCUUGGUUGAGCGAAUCGGGUUUCAAAUCCAUUACCAUGGAUAGGAGGCCAAACAGGUUGG
RNAcentral lists this long non-coding RNA (1400 nucleotides) under Phaseolus vulgaris (common bean). RNAcentral describes it as "long non-coding RNA (PVUL_LNC004617)". The record is from RNAcentral. Lineage: Eukaryota; Viridiplantae; Streptophyta; Magnoliopsida; Fabales; Fabaceae.